AGGGUUCGAUUCUGGCUCAGGAUGAACGCUAGCUACAGGCUUAACACAUGCAAGUCGAGGGGCAGCAUGAUUCUAGCUUGCUAGAAUGAUGGCGACCGGCGCACGGGUGAGUAACGCGUAUCCAACCUUCCCUAUAGUAGAGGAUAGCCCGGCGAAAGUCGGAUUAAUACUCUAUGUUUUCCAAUGAGGACAUCUGAGCUGGAAUAAAGGUUUACCGCUAUAGGAUGGGGAUGCGUCUGAUUAGAUGGUAGGCGGGGUAACGGCCCACCUAGUCGACGAUCAGUAGGGGUUCUGAGAGGAAGGUCCCCCACAUUGGAACUGAGACACGGUCCAAACUCCUACGGGAGGCAGCAGUGAGGAAUAUUGGUCAAUGGGCGAGAGCCUGAACCAGCCCAAGUAGCGUGCAGGAUGACGGCCCUAUGGGUUGUAAACUGCUUUUAUACGGGGAUAAAGUGAGGGACGUGUCCCUUUUUGUAGGUACCGUAUGAAUAAGGACCGGCUAAUUCCGUGCCAGCCGCGGC
RNAcentral lists this ribosomal RNA (521 nucleotides) under uncultured bacterium. RNAcentral describes it as "bacterial SSU rRNA". It matches the Rfam family "Bacterial small subunit ribosomal RNA", at positions 8 to 518 of the family's 1533-position model. The record is from RNAcentral.